Mustela lutreola (European mink) is the source of this 1283-nucleotide long non-coding RNA. RefSeq lists it as uncharacterized. The transcript has 2 exons. The record is from RefSeq and is a predicted model, not a curated record. NCBI's taxonomy places the organism in Eukaryota, Metazoa, Chordata, Mammalia, Carnivora, Mustelidae.
GCGGAGGCCGGGCAGGGGGACGGGGCGUUUCUCCGGACCCCGUGGAGAGCGCGCUCGUGUCCGGCCUCCGAGGGGCGGGGGGGACGCGCGUCCGCCCGGCUCCCCCCUCCCCGGACGCGGCCGAACCGACGUGGGCCCCGGCCUCGCCCCGCGCGCGGCCCCGAUGGAAGUGGCGGAGCCGCACCUGCGCGGCCGCCCCGGUCCCCCCGGGCGCAGCCGCCGCGCUCGCCUGCCCCAGGACGAACACACGUGCGAGUCCGUCUUUCCCGAGAAACGCAAACGCGCGACACCGCAGCCCCCCGGCCGCUGACCUCCCGCAGCGGCUUCUCCGCGGGCUGGGGGUGACCCCGCGACAGCCGGGGGUCCCGGGCAAGCUCUCGGGUCGCGGAUUCUGAGACCGUCACUCAUUCUCCUACGUUUGGCUGCAAAAUGGAGGUUUAACGACCCGCGAGCGGAGCGCUCUGCCCCGCGCUUCUCGCGCGCGAAGCACCCGUUGCGCACCGCACGCCGCGCGCGUUUUUUAAGCAACGUCCACCCCCAAGGCGGGGCUCGAACCCGCAGCUCCGAGGGCAGGCGCGGCCGUACCAACCCAGCCAGCCUCGUGCCCUUCACUCUCUUUAGAGUUUUCCCAGGGAAGCCCAUUCUGCAGACGUGGAAACUGAGGAAAAACACACUCCCAGCUCAGGGAGUGCGGCUCCUGGCCCUCCCCACAGACUUAAUAAUGCGACUAGCAUUUGAACUGACUUCCAGUGUGACGAUUGUGUGAAUGUUCUUCGCGGGAGCCUAGCCCGGCGCAGUAAAGCCCUCGGGUCACCAGAUGCCUCUUGCAACUUCAGCCAUCAAGUGCUUUCUCAAGGGAGAAAGGAGAGAGAAGGGAAGCCCUGGCUCCAUCUCUUCCUUUUCAUCGGGAAAAGCAAAAGCUCUCUAAGCCCUGGCAGGUAUCUCUUCUAUCUCACUGGUCAAAAUUUUGUCACACUGGUCACCUCUAGCUGCAAGGAUGUCUGGGAAAUCUCGCAUCUUGUCUGGGCCCUGGCGCACCGCCGUUGCAAGAGGACUCUGAAUUCAAUUGUCAAGGAAGAAGGAACAGUGAAAAUAGAAAGUAACUAACAGGGUCUUGUAUAAGGACCCAUCCAACAUGAACGGUCUAUGAGUCUUCAACCCAUUUAUGGGUUAUUUUCUAUUCUGCUUGUGAACUUGUUUAGCUUUUCUCCAGUCCCAAGCCAAGAGCAUACAUCUGUCAAGAGAAUAAAAAGGAUAUUUACAGAAAUCUUAAGAAAACAAAA